GAUGAAGAACGUAGUGAAAUGCGUUAAGUAAUGUGAAUUGCAGAAUUCAGUGAAUCAUCGAAUCUUUGAACGCACAUUGCGCCCGCCAGUAUUCUGGCGGGCAUGCCUGUUCGAGCGUCAUUACAACCCUCAGGCCCCCGGGCCUGGCGUUGGGGAUCGGCGGAGCCCCCCGUGGGCACACGCCGUCCCCCAAAUACAGUGGCGGUCCCGCCGCAGCUUCCAUCGCGUAGUAGCUAACACCUCGCGACUGGAGAGCGGCGCGGCCACGCCGUAAAACACCCAACUCUUCUGAAGUUGACCUCGAAUCAGGUAGGAAUACCCGCUGAACUUAAGCAUAUCAAUAAGCGGAGGA
Molecule: unclassified non-coding RNA, 352 nt
Filed under: soil metagenome
Description: partial contains 5.8S ribosomal RNA, internal transcribed spacer 2, and large subunit ribosomal RNA
Rfam family: 5.8S ribosomal RNA (bases 1-120)
Source: RNAcentral